RNAcentral lists this transfer RNA (68 nucleotides) under Stenocercus melanopygus. RNAcentral's name for it is "tRNA-Gln". Lineage: Eukaryota; Metazoa; Chordata; Lepidosauria; Squamata; Tropiduridae. The record is from RNAcentral.
UAGAAAAACGGGACUUGAACCCGCACCUAAAGACCCAAAACCUUUAGCACUUCCUUAUGCUACUUCCU